CUAAAGUCGUUUUACUUUAGAUGCUUUCCGAAAGGUUGUCCACGUCAUUUCCAGAUUCCAUGAACAGAUAAUCUCCAAGGUAUCACUCAAGUUAAAGAGACGGGACUUCUUCCCUCCCCACCCGUCUCCACGCAUCAGUGGAGGGGAGGGAGGAGACGGCGGACAGAAGAAGGAGGGGGGGCAAAGUGAGAAAAGCAAGAUGAGAAAGGGGUGUGGAAGGAAGGAUGAGAGGAGGGCAGGGAGAGAGGACGAUUAGGGCUGGUGGAGAGCCCGGGGCGUCUGCCCGGGCACGGGACCCGGUCCCGCAGCGCGCAGCCAGCUCCGCGGCCCCGGAGCAGUCGCAGCCCCUGCCCGGCCCGGCCCGGCCCGCGAGCCGCCUUCCCGCUCCGGACUGCGGCGGGCAGCGCUCGCGGGAGGCCCUAAGAAGAGAGAGUGAGAUUAUUGGACUGUGAGCUUUUCCUUAACUUCUCACAAGAGCAGGAGCAUGAGGAGGUGGAGUGGUGAUGAAAACCAAUAAGCCAGUCUAUCACAACAUGAUUUAGAAAUUCCAGUGGUCCCAAUUCUGCCUGGUAUUCCUUUCAAAGGGUUUUUAUUUUCCCAGUGCAUUGAUUUUUGAUUGUCAUGGAGAAUGUCAGCAGUUUACAAGCUGUGGUGGAUUGCCAGCUUGAGUUGGAGGGAAGUAAUGCAGAGAGCAGAGGUGUCCGGAUUCAUGACCCUCCUGCCACGCGCAGUCUACUCUGCAGCUCGUCCUCCUCGUCAGGACCUCAAGAUGCUGGGGCGCCCUCUGGUCUCUCUUCAGCCCUCGUCCCUUCUUUAUCCACACUCAGGUUGUCUCUACUGUUCCCAUGGCUUAAAAAAAUGUACAUAUUCAGAAGUUCUCCAGAUUUAUGUAGCCGGCACCCUGAAUUCCCAUGGCCUCUAGACAUGGCUAUCCAAUGGCUCUACCACAUCUUCCUUUGCAUGUCUAAUCCACAUCUCAGAAUACACAGGUCCCAAGGCAACCGCUCUAUGUUCCAUCUGAACUUGUUCCUCCCCAAAUCUUGCCUGUUUUUCUUCUGGUACCACUAAACCCCUGGUUGCUUGGGCCAAAAAUAUGGAUGUCAUUCUUGACCCCUCUUUUUCCCUCCCACUUGCAUCCAAUCCAUCAGCAAGUCUUCCUGGUUCUGCUCUAAUAUAUAUCCCUUAACAAGCCUGUGAAAUGCUGCAUCAUUGGAUCCUGGCCACUAUUUCAAGCUCAUCCGUGUAAAACAGGCCUUUUCCCUUAUCACUCUUCAUAGCACAAAGCCGCCCUGGGAAUUAUAUUUAUACUUAUCUGUUUAUCUAUUUAUUGUCUCUUUCCCCUAUUAAGGAAGGACCUUUCCAUUUUUAUUCUCAGGCCCAUACCUAAAAUGCUGCCUGGAACACUGUAGACACUCAAUAACACUUUGAAUGAGUGAAUUCAUAGCCAUCACAUGAGUCCCUCAGCAGAAACAGGCUUGGGUUGGCUCAGAAUCAGAUUGACAGCUGCACACAACUGCCAAUGUGCCAGGUGUGCAUUCACAAUCACGUUGUUUGUUUAUGAAAUACAUUCUUGGCUUUUCUUUUGAAUACAGAAAGCCAAAAAUGUCAUAUUGAUUCAAAUAAAUAAUUCUACUUAUUUUCAACUCAAGAUAAUUCUAUAAGAAUGAAAGCUCUCAAAAACGAGGCAAAGGAAAGUCGUUUUGUUUUUAUUUGAACUAUCCAUCUCUCCAAUCAUCCUUCUCUACCUCCGGAAUUUCUAUACUUGGGAACAUACUUUGUGUCUCCUCCCAUAGUCAAAAAUGAUGUUCAGACUCGAUGAUAGUGAUCAUAGGAAGCAUUACUAUGCCAAAUCAUUUCAAAUUGUGCAGUAGCCAAAGUACAUACAAGUAUGUCAUGGUAAUAAAUCUGUCUUAUUUACUCUAACAACUUUUCAAGCAAUAGCCAUAAUAAAUUAACUUUCCAUUGUGAUUUUCAUAUCUAUCACCAGAAAAGUAGUGUCUGUUUCAGAUCUUUAAGUUCUAUUUGAUGUAUUUAAAUGACCCUCAAUAAUAAACUUCAGAGUUGUCUUGACCUGACUGAUAAUGAAUUAUAUAUGUUCAUUUGCCUGGGCCUGCAAUAAAUCAACUACCAGGAAAUGUAUGAAAUGUGCUGCUGUAAAAUCCUGGUUUCCCUCUCCAGAAUAUAUUUGAGUAAUUACUAAUGUAUGUUUAUUGUUUUCAGGCCAGAUUUAAUCUGUUAAUCAUGGAGCUUAUAGCUCCUCCUAUAUUCUAUACGUUGGUUGAUGGUACCUUCUUUUACCUGCUCUCCCAAGCCAGAAGAGUCAUUCCGUAAUGCCCGGCUCCUCUUCAUUUCACAUAGUAUGGGUCGCUGUAUCCUCUCAGUUCUGCUUACAGAACAUCUCUGGCAUCUAUUCCCUUUUCUCCAGCACUGUGGCCCCUAUUAAAGGUGAACCCAUCCUAGCCUCACAGAGAUGUAUUGACCUGGCUUCUGACUGUACUACACCUUCCCCAUAAAACCAGAGAGCUCCGAAUCCUGUCCCAGAGCCCUCUCCCUGAAAGGUGUAGGGUUUGGGAAUGGCCAGUCAUCUGUUACUGCAAGCUCAACUGUGAAGAGGCGGCUUGAGGUAAGAGACUACACAAAGAGUGUGAGCUGUGAUAUCAGACAGGGAGGGUUUCAGAUCCUGUCUCUGCCUCUAGCAGGGGUAUCAUCCUGGGCAAGUUCACCUCUCUGGAACUUAAGUCAGCCAUAUUUGACUUUGAGGUAAUAAUUCACACUUCAUAGGGUUGCUGUGAAACCUAAAUAAGAUCAUGUGUACUAAAAGGUAUUUCCUGACGUGUUGGAUGCUCACCAGACAUUAGUUCUCUUCUUGCAUUCUCCUACCGCUUCUAGGCACCAUCAUAUGUUACCCAGAACACACCUGCAGAAACCCUGCCUUCUUUCCUUGCCGUCUUAUACUGAUCUCUUUGGGUAGCAAGGAUUCCCUUAUUUCUCAGCCAGGAUAAGGGAACCUGAGUGAGACUCUGUUCUGUCUCAGGGAACCUGUUUCUUUCGAUGCUUCUGCAAAUCCUCAUUCUAGAAUAACUAGAAACUAUUUCUCUUCAAGCUAUUUUCUUGCUUUAAUAUAUAUCAAUAACUCCCCCUAAGUUACAAACAAAAAUACAGAUUUCUUAGCCUUCUCUGUCCUACCCUUGCAUAUUUUUACAAACUCAGCUCUGACACUCAUUCUUUUUAGUUGCUUGGCUUCCUUGUCAAGUUCAUGGUCUUUCACUUUUCUGUGCCCUACGUUGCCCUCUCUCAUGAGAAUGCCUUUCUCUGCUUGAAUGUCCAGUAAGCACCUCAUAUUCUUGGGUGAAGUUCUCUGUAAAGCUCUGUCAACCUUGACCUCAUCUCAGGACGUCAGUUUUUCCCAGCUUAGUCUUUCCAUGGAACUUUGAUAUGUCUCUGGUCAUAUUGGUACUAUUGUGUACUGUUUCUCUUACCACUAUCAUGUAAAUUCCUUGAAUGGAUGACAGUACCACAGCACCUAGUAUGCGCUUUAAGGUCCAUAAAUAAUUAAUUGAUAAUGGAAGGUAUUAUUAUCAUUAUUCCUAUUGCCUUUACCUAUUUAAAAAUUUUUCUUUUCCUAGAUUUUUUUGUCAAACUAUGCUACCAUUUUGUAUUCUAUGUCAUAAACUAAUAUGAUCGUUAUGCAAAUGCUAUUUUCAUAUAAUUCUGAACACCAAGAUUUGAAAACCUAGAUGAACACUCUGGUAUGUAUACUUCUCUCAUUUGCAUAAAAAUGACAUUCUGCAAUUGAGAUUUCAUGGUUGAGAAAUUUCAAAGCCCUGUUUAAAGAAAAAAUAACCUUAGAAAAAUUAAUCAUGUUUUAGCCAGUUUGUUAAAUAAAUAAAUUGAAAAGCAAAGAAGCAUAAUUUUAACAACCUUCAAAAUAAACACUCACCUUACUUCCAAAGUUCUUUCAUAUUGCAAAUUAGUGCCAAAAAAUACAUCCCUACCAUUAAAAAGACUCCUUACUUGGAAAAGCAUCAGGAGAUAAGGAGCAGCUGGCAUCCAGUUAUCCACCACAUUUAGCUCAGUACAAGCAGGCCAAAAGGGACCACACAUACCCAGGAUCUACAUCCUUCUCUCCUAGGGUAACUUCAUGGACUUCUGUGGUUCCCUGCAUAGGCUUUUCAUCACUGAGGUGAAAAUCAGAGAGAGGUGAGCACUUACAUGUCUAGCCACUGCGCCUCGUCUAUGGCAGAUCUAGACCAGAAGGUGUGAAGAUUUCUGUAAUGUCAUCUGGGAAGGGGGAGGGUAAUUGUACCAUCCUUUCCCAUGUUUGUGGUAUGUUUCAUAUUAUUUACAUUACUUUAAGAUCCUUUUGUAAAUUCUGUCCAUCUCUUAAGAAAUCUGAUAGGUUAUCAUAUGUCUUUACAUUCUUUAGUUUGCUCAUGAGAAUUUCAAAAACCUACUUUAUGAGAUAACUGACAAAGUGAGGAACUUAUACUUUCUGACAUAACAUGAACUGAGACUGUCAUUCAAGUUUGAUUAGUUAAGCAUUAAAAAAUAUCAGUCUCAUGCCUGGGGAAAGAUAAUAUUUUUAGGCCCUUUUUAUUACUUUAAAAGAAGUUUUAUAGCAAAGUCAGUUUAAGUAUAAAUACAACUCUUAAUUACCUGUGACAAUGGGGAAUGGAAAAUUGAAAUCUACAGAUAAUUCAAAAUUUUAUUCUAAAGAGCUUCCCACUGAGCUUCUUAACAUUGCUCAGAGCUGAGCCUUAAUUUGCUUGGACUCUAUCUUCUUUUUUUGACACCUCAUCAUGGAGGAGGGGUUGAUCAGCAGUAAAUUAGACUCUAAGUAGAGAAGAGCAGAAAAAGAGCAAAAUCAGAAACCAAAGGACUUGAAUCAACCAGAAAAUUCAUAUCUAAAUCUUGAAAAUAGUAAGUGAAAUAAAUCUUUGUUUUGGUUUUAUAAUAGAAAUAGACAUUCUAAGAACUAGAUAGAAACCAUUUUGAGUGUGUGAAUUUUCUAGAAAGGAUCGUCUCUUGUCAUUUGAAAAUAUAGAUUAAUACUUUGAUUCAUCUACAUCAAGGAGAGCAAAGAACUAUUUCAAACUUUGUCAAAUCCAUUGCUUUCUAAGCAACAACAAUAAAAGAAAACACAUUUUCUAUUUACUUAAUGGAUUUUUCAAGUGCUGCUCAGAAAAUCAUUUACAGAUGGGAUUCCAUUUUGAAGGUGGGCAAGUAAAGUUUUUGAGUAUUUUUUUUUCUUUUGGUGAGGAAGAUUGGCCCUGAGCUAACAUCUGUGCCAAUCUUCGUCUAUUUUGCACACGGGAUGCCACCUUAGCAUGGCUUGAUGAGCAGUGUGUAGGUCCACGCCCAGGAUCUGAACCUGCAAACCUUGGGCCACUGAAAGCAGAGCACACGAACUUAACUACUACAUCACAAGGCAGGCCCCAACUAAUGCUUUUUAGAUGUUGUGCAGAGUCAGAAUGCAAAAAAAAAGAGUCAGUAAGAUCUGUUCUGAUGCUCUCUUUGGUUCUGCCUCUCCGUUUCAAAAUGCUCACCACCCAACCAGCCAGUACCAUACAGGAAACAAGCAGCAACCACAGAUGGCUUCCUUUGCAGCCUCGUUGACACCUCCUUCUGCCUGUUGCAAAACCUCAGUUUUGUCUCCAAACUCUGAUAUUUUGGCUGGCUGACUUCAUGAGAAUUAUCCAAUAAUUUCUAAAAGGGUAUUCAUUUUCAUUUAUUAUCAUUUGAGGAUAAGUAAUAUUCUAUACUUGUAUGUAACAUGCAGAAUCUGAAAUCCGGCACUGAAAUUGUCAAAUGAAGCAUAAGUGAUACGUUAGAUGUGCCUAAAGAGAUUUUCAUCUUUUUAAGAGCGAAAAUCCAAAUCCUCCAAAGUGUGACAUUUUCAGAAGGCAUGCACACCGCCCCCCCAUAAUCGUUCUCUGGGGAUUUCCCACUUCCUGAGGGGUCUCUUGGUUCCACCUGCGCCUCCGCUGGCUGGAGUGAGACUGAGAAGAGCUAUGUCUGGAUUGGCACAUCUACCUCCUAGUCGCCAAGUGUGCAAUUACCACUGUUCGUUGCCUCAGGUAAUCCAGCCACUCAUGCAAGACACAGCAUUAUUCUCAUGGAGAUAAUACAUAGAUCCUCCUUUGGAAAGAGAAUCAUUUGUUUGAACUGUUUGUGGAAAUAAUGAUAGAAACUUUGCUACUUAAUCAAAGGCGUACAAAAUUUGGAAAUACUUUGGAAAUAACUGAUAUCCUCAGUUAAAACCAAUAAUUAAAAUUGCAAUAAAAGUGUAAAUGAAAUGAACUCAAUGAAAUGACUAACCACUAUUCCUUGUUUAAAAUUUUUAAGCUAAAAUAGUCUUUAGUAUGACAUUUCCAUUGAGGUCCCCUAAUGUAAGCAAACUUAACCAUUAGUCUUAUUUGCACAAUAAAUUGAGUCCUAAUAUUUGAUUUGAAAAUGAAUUUUUUAUUUUGAAAAUAAUUUGGCAGAGCAUGAAAAGAGGAAUUCUCCCCAGGCAUUGAAAUAUUUAGUGUAGACACAAGUCUUCUACAGCAUUCUUGCGACUCUAGAGCACCGUACUAGAGGGUCUGUGAGCCCUUUGAAAUUAUGAGCAAAAACGUACGUCUUUGUGUAUAUCAUUUUGAUGGAAAAGUUAAAACAGCUUUCCUCAGAACCACGGCAUAAAACAAAACUUCAUUCGUUGUGUAAAUUCCUCUAUGCUUGUGUGUUUUUAAAGAACGAAAAAUACCCGUGUGUAUGGACUCACUGAAGUGUAUGAAGAAUAUCAAUAAGACCAUCGGCACAUGCACAUAGGUAUAUUUUCAGAGCAACAGGAAUAUUUCUGGUCAUAACAUAAAUGAUAUGUAUUAAAAUGAUACAAUUUUAUUAUUCAUUAGCUCAUUAUGAUUUCAUUUAUCAUCAUAAAGAUAUUAAUUUCUCAUGAUUUCUCUUGUUCACUUUAUGGAAAAAUUCCUUUAUUGAAAAAUAAAUAUCUUGAAAUUAAUGGCAGCAAAAUAAAUUUGAGAAGAUCUGUUUAAUGUGCAUUUAGUGACAUCUCACUGAACUUUGCUUACUUUAAAAUGCAGAAAAAUAUUUUGGAUGUUUAAAAAAUGAAUUGCAGAGCUGGAGAGCUGCCUCUGUGAGCGCUGACAUUAAUUGCCACCUGUACCUUGAAUUGGGGGACUCUGAUGGACUUGCUCCAGAUAAUUUAAGUUGUGUAAAGAAGUUUCUGGGUAAAAAUUGACAUCACUUAACAAAAAUGCUUUGCCAUGGGUCUUUUUGUAAUCAAUGCCUAGGGCACAUGUAUUGACAUUUGAAUUAGAAAUGAGUUUCAAAUAAAUAUUCCAUAUAAAUAACUAUUAGAUACAGUUCCACGGGAGAAGGAGCUAGCUCCUCUUCAGUGCGGUAUCUUUAGAGUCUGACAUUCAACCAAUAGUCAAAGAUUGAAAAAUCAGUCAAUCCAUAUAUGCUGUAAAUCCAUAGUUAUCUUUCUGGUUUCUGUGAGUACUAAGAGUGGUGCAUGACUCUGGGAUAGUCUAAAUACCUCUCUAGAUGUUCUUCUAUACAGGGGAGGAAUUUCCCAAUACGAUGGACAAGCGUUAUGUUACAGUAAAGUGAUAAACUAAUUGGAGAUAACAAAACAUUUUGGCCUACAAACUACGUAAUAGUGAUAAAAACAUUACUAACUAACUUUCAUAGCUCCUUUGCAUGUUAAAUGGUAUUAAGAAAAGUUAUUUAAGAAGUGUAAACAAGGCAAAGGGGCGUGCUUUUAAUGUCUAACAGGUCCACUCCAAAUUAUUUAGUAAUCUAGAGAAUGUGCUUGUUAAAUUCACUGUUGGCUAUUGAUGAAAAGUCCAGACUUAAUGACAUUACAUGUUAACUUGUAAAUUUUUUCUAACAGAAAUAAUUUCUGUCCAGGAGAAAAAGAAACUCAAUUGAUACAGAUUAUUAGAAACAAUUUCUAUACAGGAGAAAAAUAAACCCAAGUGUUACAGAUUAUUAUCCCAUAAGAUGUUAAUCAGUUUUGAAUCUUACCUAGAAAUCUUUACUAGUAUUGUUUCAAAAUGCCUAUAAAUACCCAAAUCCUCAAAAUACUCUGAAUCAGCCUUGCCAUCUGAUUGGUUUAUUUGUUAAUUAAUGAGUUUAAUAAAAUCUUUGCACAUCUUUAUUUUAUAUUUGAAUGAGACAUGUUAUUAACGUUCUGAAAAUGAUACUUAAAGAAUGGAUUAUUGUAAUCUUCACAACCACAGGAAAUAAGUACUAAAAUUGUCCCAUGCACUGUUAUUAUUACUGAUAGUACCAUGCGUCUUAUUGUCAACCCUGUAGAGAAUCUGAGCAUUAGGGAGGUUAAGUGGCUUGUCCGAGGUCACACAGGUGAAUGGGAUUGCAAACUCUCUAAUGCCAACAACCCAUGCCCCUCACUGUCCUGCGACACUGCCCGGAGGCGGGAAGAAAGCUCACGCUGAAAGACUGGAGCUGAAAGCUGUGUCUGCAUGAGUCUGAAAAGCACUGUUAAAGGCAAAGUGAAUUUAUAAAAGUACUUCAUGAAAUUAAUGUGAUGGGAGAAGCUAUUAAUAACGUAUAAUGCAUAUGUAUGAUAUAUAUAUGAAUUGGCACACACAGGCAUACACAGAAAUACUGCCUCAUGUAAGAAAUGGUCAUCAUAGGCAUAUUCUGCACGUGAGUCAUAAUCAAGGCAAAACCUUUGUCCCUUUCGGAAAUCCAGCUGCAUCAUUGUCGAUUGCCCCAGGGUUUCACAUUGUACAUAUGGGCAAAACAGUGGGGUUUGAAAGUUAUAUUCAAAAUGUUUGAAACUUUUAUCAAGAGUCCCAGAACAGAAAGCCUUCUGGAUAGUGGAUGAAUAGAGAAAAUAUUUGUGAGGUUUUGUUUCCUUUGUUGUUUUGUUUUUGUCUUCAAACUGGUCUAACAGGGAUUAUGCGUCUUGAAAUCACCAUUUUCUUACCUGAAGGUUCUUCUUUAGGACAGCAGGGUCUGAAUCAACAACAGCUUUCCUUCGGCCAUCAACGAAAGGCCACGUAUGAGAGGUUUUUGCAUCUCAGUCCGACUUUUAAGCUGCAAAAGGUAACACGCAGUUUGUCUUUGUCUGCAGCGUUCUGCACUGUGGCCCCGAGCUGCUAAGCUCCCGCCCUAGUGGGGUCUGCUUCCUUUGAGAGUUGUCUGUAAAUAAAAGCAGAUAGAACCAACAGCCUUCUGCCUCCCUUAGGUGUCUGGAAUGUUCUCAAACUGGUCCUAGGAAAAAAUAAAAGCCUUAACUGUGGUCCUCUUAAAGCCACUUCCCAAGUGUUGUCCCUGAGCCCAUUAUAUCAACAUAACCGAAUCUGCUUGUUUAAAAACAUGCAUACCUCUUGGCCUCACUCCUGACCUGCUGGAUCAGAGCCUCUCAGCUGCGAUCAGGGAAAGAGAAUUUCAACGAACCACUCAGCUGACCCCUGCAGCCUAUAAAGCUCUUUGAAAGCAGUCCUCCUUACAGUUACACACCUUGGACUUGUACACAUCUUAACUUUUGACUCUGAAAAAAGCAUCUACUUGUAUUUUAAAUAAGCAACUUGGGAAUCAGAGCUUGGGUGUUAAAUUCUGAUCAAUUUUCAAGGAAAAUUAUUUUGUUCCAACUUCAAAAAAACACUUAGAUUGGCUGUUUAACUCAGGAGGGUAUUUUGUUUUGUUUGGCAAGAAAAUACUUAGUAAGAUGAGUAUCCUAACUGUUGCAAAUUACCUGAUAAUCACAUUCCUGAUGUGUUUCAAUGGCUGUAUUUCUGGGACAGAGAUGAUAUAUUUGGAUGUAAAACCCAACUUGGGAUGCCGCUAAUCAGUAAAUUACAAGUGAUGUGUGAUUGAAUUUCUCAAUUAGAAUUGUAACCUAGUGUGUGUGUGUGAGUGUGUGUGUGUGUAUACAUAUACACCAUAACAAAUAGUGUUAUGCCGAUGUUGUUUUAGAGUCUUUCCUUUUAUAUUUUUAAAGAACCAAUACUUAAUAAAUGUUAAAUUUCUGGGGAAAAUAGCUACUAACAUCUGUAUAGAUCUUUAGCCUUUACAAAGUAAUUUCUAUUUCAUAUUUAACCCUCUUAAUGGAUAUUACUGUUGCUUUUGAUGACAGUAAUAGUAACUAAUGUACAUGCUGUCUUCAUCCUCCUUAGCCCUCCAGUUCCAUCCUCCCCUCAUAUUACUAUGUCACUUCAUGCAGACUAUAAGGUGCAUUUAUUCUAUAGGGUGAUAAUCAUCUGUGUAAGUGUGUCCCCUCCAUGAGACUCUGGGUUCUUUGAGAAAUGGAACCAUGUCUUUUAAUCUGUGAUGCCUAGUACAGUGAUAAGCACAUAUCAUUGAACAGUGAUGAAUGAAUAAGUGAAUGUAUGAAUGAAUGAAUGAGUAAGAAAACAAUGGCUUAGACUGAGGAUCUGCAAACUAUGGCCUGCAGGCCAAAUCCAUCCUGCCACUGCUUUUGGGGUUUUUUCUUCUUAUUAAAGUAUAGUUGACAUAGAAUGUUGUAUCAGUUUAGGUAUACAACACAGUGAUUCAACAUUUAUUUACAAAACGGUCACAUUGAUAAGACUAAUAACCAUCUGUCAUCAAUAACAAAGUUAUUACAGUAUUAUUGACUAUAUUCCCUAUGCUGUGUUUUCAUCCCCACAACUUAUUUAUUUUGUGACUGGAAGUUUGCACCUCUUAUCCCCUUCACCUAUUUCGCCUCCCUCUACCUCCUCCCCUCUGGCAACCACCAAUUCGUUCUCUGUAUGUAUGAGUCUAUUUCUGAUUUGAUUUAUUUGUUCAUUUGUUUUGUUUAGAUUCCACAUAUAAGUGAAAUCAUACGGUAUUCUUCUUUCUCUGUCUGACUUAUUUCACUUAGCAUAAUACCCUCUAGGUCCAUCCCUGUUGUCACAAAUGGAAGGAUUUCACUCUUUUUUAUGGCUGAAUAAUAUACCAUUACAUAUGUAUACCACAUCUUCUUUAUCCAUUCAUCUACCGACGGAUACGUAAGUUACUUCCAUAUCUUGGCUAUUGUUAAGCAAUGCUACAAUGAACAUAGGAGUGCAUAUAUCUUUUCAAAUUAGUAUUUUCAUUUUCUUCAGAUAAAUACCAGAAGUGGUAUUGCUAAAUCUACUUCUGUGGUUCUAUCGAACUACUACUUGAAUAGUGGUUCUAUUCUUAAUUUUUUGAGGAACCUUUAUACUGUUUUCCAUAGUGGUUUCAACAAUUUACAUUCCCACCAACAGUGCACAAGGGUUCCCUUUUCUCCACAUCCUCGCCAACAUUUGUUAUUUGUUGUCUUUGGAUAAUAGCCAUUCUAACAGGUGUGAGGUGAUACCUCUUGGUGGUUUUGAUUUGCAUUUCCCUGAUGAUUAGUGUUGGAGAGCACGUUUUCAUGUACUUGUUCUGCCACCUGUUUUUGGAUAACCCAGAAACUAGAAAUGGUUUUUACAUUUUUAAAUUAUUUUAAAAAAUCAAAAGUAUGAUAAUAUUUCAUGACACAUAAAAAUUGUAGGAAAUUCAAAUUUCAGUGUCCAUGAAUAAGAUUAUGUGUGUGUGUGUGUGUGUUGGGGAAAUCAGCCCUGAGCUAACAUCUGUGCCAAUCUUCCUCUAUUUUAUGUGAGAUGACACCACAGCGUGGCUUGACAAGUGGUGUUAGGUCUGCGUCUGGGAUCCGAACCUGAGAGCCCCAGGCUGCUGGAGUGGAGUGUGCCAACUUAACCACUACGCCACCAGUCAGCCCCAUGAAUGACAUUUAUGAGAAAACAAACAUGCUCAUUUGUUUAGAUAUUGUCAAUGGCUGCUUUUGUGCUCCAAUGAUAGAGUUGAGUAUUAGCAACAGAGAUCAUAUGGCCUGCAAAAUUGAAAAUAUUUACUAUUUGGCCUUUUACAGAAAGUUUACUGAUUCUCCGGAUUAGACAGAUUCAUUGUCUUACCCCGGAUGCUACAAAAAGUAAAUGAUAGAUCUGGAAUCAAAGUCAGAUGUUUUGACCUCAAAUUUAAUGCUUUUUCCUCCAUACUUUGCCAGCCCGGAAAACUGAUUUUAGUUCUAGACCAUUAACGCUUGCUUCCAAUUCUAGAGUUUCUUGUUAGGCAGAACUGGAUUUAAAUCUUAACUUUACUCAGUACUGGCUACAUUACUUGUGGAUCUAGUGCAAAAUGAAAAUGCCCCGGACCUGCAGCGCCAUCCCAUGGCAGACAGGAACCCUUCUGCUCUGGGAAAUGCUAAGUACAGGGUGGGCCACCCAGUCCCCAGCCUAAAGUGCAAUGGAGCUGCCCACCUCAGGCAGGGAUGGCCACUGUCUCCCCCCAUCUCCCGAGACCCGUGGGACACUUGCUGACCCUGGCCAUCCAGGAUGGAGGGUGUCAGUGAUCAGGGAGGGAUAGACAAUUAGUUGGGAUCCAGAGCACCUGGGGGCCGGGAGGGAAGGCGGGGUGACACAUGAGCUGAGACUCGAAGCCCCUGCCUCAUGCUCCAUUGUCCCAUCAGACUUCACUCACAAAAUAUAAAUUUGAAGAUAAAAUUGCUAAGAAUCUCAAGGUAGCAGCCACAGAGCAUUAAACCCCAAGCGCAGGCCCUUUCUGAGCAGGGUCACACAGGUUGUACUUCCAUGAAGCCAGCCCUGACCCUACCACAUAACCAGACAGGAUGCCUUCACAAGUUAAAGAAUCUGUCUGAGACCCAGUUUACACAGUGGUGCAAUGUACUUGGUGGUAUCUAUCCCAAAAAGUUGGGAAGUCUCAGUAGACCACAUAUAGAAAACAAUUAGCAAUGUUCUUGGCUAUUUAUUUUUCAGUUUCCUAUACCUUUUUCCAGGACUGACUCAAGAAGUAUUACCCCUAUCAAAAAAGACUAAAUGUCACUUCAUUAGGCUUACGUUGAAACCAAACUCCUUCCCAUUGUGAACUUCAUCAAUGGGUGGAUCGUAUGUUACCCUAAAGAGAUGUCCAGACUAAAAGUAAAUUGAGCCAUUAGUUAGAGCCAUUUUGGCUCCUUGUGAAUAAGUCUUUCUCUGGACACUCGUUAGCUAGUCUAUACCCUCUGGGUCUACCCUUGGAAAGCAAAUGAGAAACCUUCCCCAGGGUACUUUCGGACCUGUGUAUUAGUUGUAGUGUGCCACUGUAAGGGAUCCUAGCUUGACACUUUUAUGGUCACAAGCAUUAAACCUGCACCAACACUUAUAAUGUUUACCCUGGUUAUUCUCCAGGAUUCUACCCCUUCAGAAAAGGAAGUGUCGUUUGUUCCUCUUCCUUCAGCAAAGCAGUCAGCAUGCAUUUUAUGGUCUCCAGUGGAUUUACUGCCGACUUGGUCAGAUGGAUUCCAUACUAGUGUUCAGCUUCUCUUGGGGGUCUUUGUGAUUCUAUGCAACAACUCACAGCUUUUUUUUUUUUUUGAGGAAAAUUAGCCCUGAGCUAACAUCUGCUGCCAAUCCUCCUCUUUUUGCUGAGGAAGACUGGCCCUGAGCUAACAUCCAUGCCCAUCUUCCUCUACUUUAUAUGUGGGACGCCUGCCACAGCAUGGCUUGCCACGCAGUAUGUAGGUCUGCACCCGGGAUCUGAAUCGGCGAACUCCAGGCUGCCGAAGUGGAACUUUCGAACUUAACUGCUGUGCUACCUGGCCGGCCCCCCAACUCACAGCUUUGGGAAAGAAGACAAUAAUUCUAGUCUGUUACCACAGAGAACUAGGAUUGUAAAUAAACUCAAUGUAUUCAUAAAAGUACCAUUAGCAAGAAGAUGAUCUCACCUGUUGAGAUGUUGAUUCUGUUCAACAUGAGGAAGGUCAUUUCCUCUUUUAGUUUUUGUCUUUUGUCCUAGGAGUCACAUAAUGAUGUGUCCUAGUAAAUAAUAAUUUCCGAGCAGAUUUUGCUCUUUGUAUUGAGACACACUUGACUUUUAUUUGGAAAAUAAUUUUAGUAUUCAUAACUGGUUUGUUUUUUCAUAAAAACUGGUCAUUUGUUUUGAAUAAUAGAAGCAUUCAAUAAGUAUUCAGUUAAGGUGAAGCUAUAGAAUUCC
Molecule: long non-coding RNA, 13992 nt
Organism: Equus asinus (donkey)
Lineage: Eukaryota; Metazoa; Chordata; Mammalia; Perissodactyla; Equidae
Source: Ensembl